RNAcentral lists this ribosomal RNA (443 nucleotides) under uncultured bacterium. Its description in RNAcentral is "SSU rRNA". It matches the Rfam family "Bacterial small subunit ribosomal RNA", at positions 26 to 518 of the family's 1533-position model. The record is from RNAcentral.
AGAACGAACGCUGGCGGCAGGCCUAACACAUGCAAGUCGAGCGACCCAGCAAUGGGGAGCGGCAGACGGGUGAGUAACACGUGGGAACGUACCCUUCGGUUCGGAACAACUCGGGGAAACUUGAGCUAAUACCGGAUACGUCCGAGAGGAGAAAGAUUCAUCGCCGAAGGAUCGGCCCGCGUCUGAUUAGCUAGUUGGUGAGGUAAUGGCUCACCAAGGCGACGAUCAGUAGCUGGUCUGAGAGGAUGAUCAGCCACAUUGGGACUGAGACACGGCCCAAACUCCUACGGGAGGCAGCAGUGGGAAUAUUGGACAAUGGGCGCAAGCCUGAUCCAGCCAUGCCGCGUGAGUGAUGAAGGCCUUAGGGUGUAAAGCUCUUUACCUGGGAAGAUAAUGACGGUACCAGGAGAAUAAGCCCCGGCUAACUUCGUGCCAGCAGCCGC